UUUCCGUAGGUGAACCUGCGGAAGGAUCAUUUCCGAACAAACUCUUUACAAACCAACCAUGUGAACUGUUUUGGGUUUUUACUCUCCUACUGUACACACACAACAUAUACUCGGAUGUGUAGAUUUUCACAGCGGUAGUUGAUAGGGGUAUUGCCUGUGCGUGUCCUUGCGACCGCAUAGCCAUAUUCCUGACUGCUUGAAAUUCUAUAUACCAAAACAUCCGAUGUGUAUGGUACUUGGGGAGAGGCCAUUAUGAACUACCUUGUCACAAAGGUUGAUUACUAUCGUUUUUCUUUUUUAAAAACAAAAAAACAAAUGAUAUGACAACUUUUAACGGUGGAUCUCUUGGCUCGU
RNAcentral lists this unclassified non-coding RNA (354 nucleotides) under plant metagenome. RNAcentral describes it as "partial contains small subunit ribosomal RNA, internal transcribed spacer 1, and 5.8S ribosomal RNA". The record is from RNAcentral.